RNAcentral lists this ribosomal RNA (207 nucleotides) under uncultured bacterium. Its description in RNAcentral is "partial 16S ribosomal RNA". It matches the Rfam family "Bacterial small subunit ribosomal RNA", at positions 568 to 774 of the family's 1533-position model. The record is from RNAcentral.
CACGCAGGCGGUCUGUUAAGUUUGGAGUGACAGUUCCUGGCUCAACUGGGAAAGUGCUUCGAAAACUGGCAGACUUGAGGGCUUCAGAGGGACACGGAAUUCCGGGUGGAGUGGUGAAAUGCGUAGAGAUCCGGAGGAACACCAAAGGCGAAGGCAGUGUCCUGGGGAGUACCUGACGCUCAGGUGCGAAAGCCAGGGGAGCGAACG